This is a long non-coding RNA of Canis lupus familiaris (dog), 269 nucleotides long. RefSeq lists it as uncharacterized. The transcript is spliced from 2 exons. Lineage: Eukaryota; Metazoa; Chordata; Mammalia; Carnivora; Canidae. The record is from RefSeq and is a predicted model, not a curated record.
AUUGGCUUUUUCCGUAAUUCUCUGAGGAAGACAGCACAGUAUAUCACACCCAUUUAACAGAUAAGAAGACUGAAGCUUGGAUUAGGGUGACCAACUGUCCAGUUUGCCCAAGACUAAGGAAGAUUCCUGGGAUUUUCAGUGCUAGCUGGACAAGUCCCAGAACAGCCAGAUGCUCAGACUGUGGCAGAGGACCCAAGGGGACAGUGCAAAGAGCCUGAGUUCCUGAUUCACCUUCUGGGAGGCUCCCUCUGAGCCCCACAUGGGCUCUG